This 148-nucleotide small nuclear RNA is filed under the name Neogale vison (American mink). RNAcentral's name for it is "Neovison vison (American mink) U1 spliceosomal RNA (ENSNVIG00000015018.1)". It matches the Rfam family "U1 spliceosomal RNA", at positions 29 to 166 of the family's 166-position model. From Rfam's summary of the family: U1 is a small nuclear RNA (snRNA) component of the spliceosome (involved in pre-mRNA splicing). The record is from RNAcentral. Lineage: Eukaryota; Metazoa; Chordata; Mammalia; Carnivora; Mustelidae.
AUACCUAGAUUUUAAAACUCGGGCCUGAUAAAAACUGAGGCCUAGGGUCAACCACUCCGGAUGUGCUGACCCCUGCGAUUUCCCCAAAUGUGGGAAACUCGACUGCAUAAUUUGUGGUAGUGGGGGACUGCGUUCGCGCUUUCCCCUG